Molecule: ribosomal RNA, 253 nt
Filed under: uncultured bacterium
Lineage: Bacteria
Description: partial 16S ribosomal RNA
Rfam family: Bacterial small subunit ribosomal RNA
Source: RNAcentral
UACGUAGGUGGCAAGCGUUGUCCGGAAUUAUUGGGCGUAAAGCGCGCGCAAGCGGUUCUUUAAGUCUGAUGUGAAAGCCCACGGCUCAACCGUGGAGGGUCAUUGGAAACUGGGGAACUUGAGUACAGAAGAGGAAAGCGGAAUUCCACGUGUAGCGGUGAAAUGCGCAGAUAUCAGGAAGAACACCAAUGGCGAAAGCAGCUUUCUGGGACGGUACUGACGCUGAGACGCGAAAGCGUGGGGAGCGAACAGG